This 427-nucleotide ribosomal RNA is filed under the name uncultured prokaryote. Its description in RNAcentral is "bacterial SSU rRNA". It matches the Rfam family "Bacterial small subunit ribosomal RNA", at positions 355 to 774 of the family's 1533-position model. The record is from RNAcentral.
UGGGGAAUUUUGCGCAAUGGGCGAAAGCCUGACGCAGCAACGCCGCGUGGGUGAUGAAGGUCUUCGGAUCGUAAAACCCUGUCGUCAGGGACGAAGGUCGGGAUGUGAACAGCGUCUUGGCUUGACGGUACCUGGAGAGGAAGCCCCGGCUAACUCUGUGCCAGCAGCCGCGGUAAUACAGAGGGGGCAAGCGUUAUUCGGAAUUAUUGGGCGUAAAGGGCGCGUAGGCGGUUGGUUAAGUGAGAUGUGCAAUCCCCGGGCUUAACCUGGGAACUGCAUCUCAGACUGGCAGGCUAGAGUGCUGGAGAGGGUGGUGGAAUUCCACGUGUAGCGGUGAAAUGCGUAGAGAUGUGGAGGAACACCAGUGGCGAAGGCGGCCACCUGGACAGUAACUGACGCUGAGGCGCGAAAGUGUGGGUAGCAAACA